GAAAGAAUUUCGGUGGAGGAUGACUUCGCGGCCUAUCAGCUAGUUGGUGAGGUAAUGGCUCACCAAGGCAACGACGGGUAGCCGGCCUGAGAGGGCGACCGGCCACACUGGGACUGAGACACGGCCCAGACUCCUACGGGAGGCAGCAGUGGGGAAUAUUGGGCAAUGGAGGAAACUCUGACCCAGCGACGCCGCGUGCGGGAUGAAGGCCUUCGGGUUGUAAACCGCUUUCAGUAGGGAAGAAGCGAAAGUGACGGUACCUACAAAAGAAGCACCGGCUAACUAUGUGCCAGCAGCCGCGGUAAUACAUAGGGUGCAAGCGUUGUCCGGAAUUAUUGGGCGUAAAGAGCUCGUAGGUCGUUUGUUACGUCGGAUGUGAAAACCUGAGGCUCAACCUCAGGCCUGCAUUCGAUACGGGCAAACUAGAGUUUGGUAGGGGAGACUGGAAUUCCUGGUGUAGCGGUGGAAUGCGCAGAUAUCAGGAGGAACACCAAUGGCGAAGGCAGGUCUCUGGGCCAAUACUGACUCUGAGGAGCGAAAGUCUGGGGAGCGAACAGGAUUAGAUACCCUGGUAGUCCAGACCGUAAACGGUGGGCACUAGUUGUGGGAACCUUCCACGGUUUCUGCGACGCAGCUAACGCAUUAAGUGCCCCGCCUGGGGAGUACGAUCGCAAGAUUAAAACUCAAAGGAAUUGACGGGGCCCCGCACAAGCAGCGGAGCAUGCGGCUUAAUUCGACGCAAC
RNAcentral lists this ribosomal RNA (743 nucleotides) under uncultured Actinomycetes bacterium. RNAcentral's name for it is "bacterial SSU rRNA". It matches the Rfam family "Bacterial small subunit ribosomal RNA", at positions 202 to 960 of the family's 1533-position model. The record is from RNAcentral. Lineage: Bacteria; Bacillati; Actinomycetota; Actinomycetes.